GAUGAACGCUGGCGGCGUGCCUAAUACAUGCAAGUCGAGCGAACAGACGAGGAGCUUGCUCCUCUGACGUUAGCGGCGGACGGGUGAGUAACACGUGGAUAACCUACCUAUAAGACUGGGAUAACUUCGGGAAACCGUAGCUAAUACCGGAUAAUAUAUUGAACCGCAUGGUUCAAUAGUGAAAGACGGUUUUGCUGUCACUUAUAGAUGGAUCCGCGCCGCAUUAGCUAGUUGGUAAGGUAACGGCUUACCAAGGCAACGAUGCGUAGCCGACCUGAGAGGGUGAUCGGCCACACUGGAACUGAGACACGGUCCAGACUCCUACGGGAGGCAGCAGUAGGGAAUCUUCCGCAAAGGGCGAAAGCUUGACGGAGCAACGCCGCGUGAGUGAUGAAGGUCUUCGGAUCGUAAAACUCUGUUAUUAGGGAAGAACAAAUGUGUAAGUAACUAUGCACGUCUUGACGGUACCUAAUCAGAAAGCCACGGCUAACUACGUG
RNAcentral lists this ribosomal RNA (497 nucleotides) under uncultured bacterium. Its description in RNAcentral is "partial 16S ribosomal RNA". It matches the Rfam family "Bacterial small subunit ribosomal RNA", at positions 28 to 507 of the family's 1533-position model. The record is from RNAcentral.